Non-coding RNA from Danio rerio (zebrafish), 339 nucleotides. The record is from RefSeq and is a predicted model, not a curated record. NCBI's taxonomy places the organism in Eukaryota, Metazoa, Chordata, Actinopteri, Cypriniformes, Danionidae.
GAAGAUGUGAAGAUUGAAGAAACAUUCACAGUCAAACAGGAAGAUCUGCAAGAACAAACAGUACGGAUAGGGGCGGGACGGAGACAUCUGAAGAUGGAGACGUGGCUGCAGACAUUCGCCUCUCUGGGGCUUUUUCUCAAUAUUAAGUAGCCAACACACAGUUCAGUCCUGCAUCCUCUCCUUGUAAGUUCAGACUUCGCAAGUUUGAUAUGGAAAACAGACUCUUGAGGACUUGUCUUAAAUCUUCAAAGGGAACAAUGUACUUUUAAAUCCUUAUUCCCAUCAUCCAAUACAUUGUUUCACUAUCUUAACAAUAAAAUAAAAACAUGAUAGAAGGAA